RNAcentral lists this ribosomal RNA (427 nucleotides) under uncultured bacterium. RNAcentral's name for it is "partial 16S ribosomal RNA". It matches the Rfam family "Bacterial small subunit ribosomal RNA", at positions 355 to 774 of the family's 1533-position model. The record is from RNAcentral.
UGGGGAAUAUUGCACAAUGGGCGCAAGCCUGAUGCAGCCAUGCCGCGUGUAUGAAGAAGGCCUUCGGGUUGUAAAGUACUUUCAGCGGGGAGGAAGGUGUUGUGGUUAAUAACCACAGCAAUUGACGUUACCCGCAGAAGAAGCACCGGCUAACUCCGUGCCAGCAGCCGCGGUAAUACGGAGGGUGCAAGCGUUAAUCGGAAUUACUGGGCGUAAAGCGCACGCAGGCGGUCUGUCAAGUCGGAUGUGAAAUCCCCGGGCUCAACCUGGGAACUGCAUCCGAAACUGGCAGGCUUGAGUCUUGUAGAGGGGGGUAGAAUUCCAGGUGUAGCGGUGAAAUGCGUAGAGAUCUUGAGGAAUACCGGUGGCGAAGGCGGCCCCCUGGACAAAGACUGACGCUCAGGUGCGAAAGCGUGGGGAGCAAACA